GCUGGCGGCAUGCCUAACACAUGCAAGUCGAACGCUUUUGGGGUUUCGGCCCCAAGGGAGUGGCGCACGGGUGAGUAGCGCGUGGGAACCUGCCCUGUUGUGGGGGAUAACCGAGGGAAACUUCGGCUAAUACCGCAUGCGCCCCGGCGAAAGCCGGGGGAAAGAUUUAUCGCAACAGGAGGGGCCCGCGUCGGAUUAGCUAGUUGGUGGGGUAACGGCCCACCAAGGCGAUGAUCCGUAGCUGGUCUGAGAGGAUGAUCAGCCACACUGGGACUGAGACACGGCCCAGACUCCUACGGGAGGCAGCAGUGGGGAAUAUUGGACAAUGGGCGCAAGCCUGAUCCAGCAAUGCCGCGUGAGUGAUGAAGGCCUUAGGGUUGUAAAGCUCUUUCGCCCGCGACGAUGAUGACGGUAGCGGGAGAAGAAGCCCCGGCUAACUUCGUGCCAGCAGCCGCGGUAAUACGAAGGGGGCGAGCGUUGUUCGGAUUUACUGGGCGUAAAGGGCGCGUAGGCGGCGUAUCAAGUCAGGCGUGAAAGCCCCGGGCUCAACCUGGGAAUGGCGCUUGGGACUGGUAUGCUUGAGUUCGGGAGAGGAGAGUGGAAUUCCCAGUGUA
Molecule: ribosomal RNA, 614 nt
Filed under: uncultured soil bacterium
Lineage: Bacteria
Description: bacterial SSU rRNA
Rfam family: Bacterial small subunit ribosomal RNA
Source: RNAcentral